RNAcentral lists this transfer RNA (74 nucleotides) under Chloroflexota bacterium. RNAcentral's name for it is "Chloroflexi bacterium (groundwater metagenome) tRNA-Trp". It matches the Rfam family "tRNA". Rfam says of the family: Transfer RNA (tRNA) molecules are approximately 80 nucleotides in length. Their secondary structure includes four short double-helical elements and three loops (D, anti-codon, and T loops). Further hydrogen bonds mediate the characteristic L-shaped molecular structure. tRNAs have two regions of fundamental functional importance: the anti-codon, which is responsible for specific mRNA codon recognition, and the 3' end, to which the tRNAs corresponding amino acid is attached (by aminoacyl-tRNA synthetases). tRNAs cope with the degeneracy of the genetic code in two manners: having more than one tRNA (with a specific anti-codon) for a particular amino acid; and 'wobble' base-pairing, i.e. permitting non-standard base-pairing at the 3rd anti-codon position. Lineage: Bacteria; Bacillati; Chloroflexota. The record is from RNAcentral.
AGGCGAGUAGCUCAAUUUGGCAGAGCGCACGCCUCCAAAGCGUGAAGUUGGGGGUUCAAGUCCCUCCUCGCCUG